This 843-nucleotide long non-coding RNA is filed under the name Physcomitrium patens. Its description in RNAcentral is "long non-coding RNA (PPAT_LNC010289)". Lineage: Eukaryota; Viridiplantae; Streptophyta; Bryopsida; Funariales; Funariaceae. The record is from RNAcentral.
UUCUGUUGCGGAUUCUGCUCUUUUGACUUUCAUUCUAUUUUGUUUCAUAAACUAUUUUAUUAAUGUGUGUAUACACGUGUCACACAUCGUUCUUGCAUCAUUUGAUUGCAACGUGUUUCGUAAACUGUUGCUCAGGCCCUUGUUCUUGUAUGAUUCAUACUUCCUUCGUGAUUCCUUUGUCUUUCGUUUCUCAUAUGAAACAAAACUCGCGGUUUUAAUUUUUGAAAACAGGUUUUCUGAUUUCAUUCGCAACUGGCUUUGACAAAAACGGGGUCGUCCUGGGGAUGCGGAUGUUGCAGAUUUGCUUCCACUGGUGCAAAGGGCGUUGCUCCUGACUCAAAAACUGUCGCUCUUCGCUCACGGGGAAUUUGGAAAAGGUCACAUGUCCUUGUAUUGUGUGUCGCCAAUGAUACACCCUCUCCAUAAAUACUCUAAAUAAGAAGUAAAAAAUGACGGGUUUGCUCCUAGAGCUCAAAACUGUCCGUGUCAUCUCUUCACACAACUGUGCCUCCUACCACAUCGCCCUAACUUGACGUCAUGGCAUAGAACUGCCAAUGUCGGUGAGUUUGUACUUCUUCUUCCUACCUCAACCCAUUGUGCAGCCACUCUUAGUUGCUAGUUUCUGUUCACCGGCUCAUGCGAGUUUGUUCAGGUUUAUAAUACUGAACACCCAUCCGAGAAGCAGCUAUUGUCACUCCCACAUCAAGAUAAUGAGUAACCAAUCCUGCAACAUAUCCAGAAUCUUGCUUUCUAGCAACUUUGGUGACCAGGGAUUUGAAUCAUUUAUGUUUGGUAGCAGUAUGUCCAUACCCUCCCACCAUCUGUUUGCAAAUUCCUUGCAAG